GAUGCCAGUGUCAAAAGGUCAUGAUUCUCAUGCUUGCAUGAAAAAUCAUGACUUUGGGACCCGCUAAACAUGAGAAAGUAGCCAUUUUUCGAAGAAAAAUGAGCGGAUUUCGAAUGUUUAGCGGAUUUUGGGAGCGCGAAGCGCGGAAAAUCCGAAGGCAU
This 161-nucleotide small RNA is filed under the name pig gut metagenome. RNAcentral describes it as "Clostridiales-1 RNA". It matches the Rfam family "Clostridiales-1 RNA". The record is from RNAcentral.